CCUGGGUCUGUGACAAAUGCGCUAGUAAAUUUUCGAUAACUUAAUAUACAUCCCCCACACACUCAAGGCAGCUUGGGUCACAGCAAUAACCACUGAACACUCUCAUCCCAAUCGCUAACAUCCUGAACCCAAUGAUAUCCCUUUGCAUUUCCAGUUUUGGGGAAAACAGACACAGCCCUCCCUGCCCAGUGGGUGGGGGAUGGUGGCACCUCUGAGCCAUGCUGGUCCCAGGACCCCCGGACUCGGACUCGCUCUCUCUUCUGCCCUGCCUAGUUCCCUUUUUCUGGGGAGGGGUGGUGCUGUCUUGCUCAGGCAGUGGUGGGGGGAGCCUUGGGCCCCUGGGUAGGCAGAAGGAGCUGUGUAAAUGUAUCUCUAUGGAGUGGGCAGUGGAGGGGACCAUACUUGGGGAGGGUGUGGCUCUGACCGGGGGUGGGGGUAAGUCCAGUUGUGUGUGGGGAGCUUGGAAAAUGCUGUAUCCUCUGCUGUCCUUGGGUUGAUGUGGUACUUGGGGAUGGAAGUGUAGAUCUCUCAGGAGGGCCUGAGGCCCAUCCCACCCUACCCCAAACUCCACUUAGACCUGGGACACAUUCAACUCAAGAGUCAGGAACCAGCCCACCCUCCACACAGUCAGCCCCUGAAAAUAUCAAGCAUCCUUCUUCCUAAGGGAGAGGCUCCAGGUCUGAGGGCCACACCCCUCCAAUAUCCCUCUGGUUCCCCACACGCCAUCCAGUGGGCGUCACAGCCCAGGAGGCCCCGAGCCUGCGUGCCCGCUUCCUCCAAAUGAGGGGUGGGGAAGGGGUGGAGAGGAGAGGGAAAUGGAGCCCACAGGACUCCUUCCUAGAACCUACCUAGACUCUCCUCCACUCGGCUCCACCUUCAGUCCCACCACGCACCCUCCCUCCCUGCACAGGCUGUGGGGGCGGGCAGUGGGGUCCACAUGGCCAAUCAUUAACCGGCCCUCACACACUCACACUCACACUCACAGCCACACUCACACACUCUCCCUCCGUAGCUGCGCGCACUUCGCCCACUCUCCGGACCCUGCACUAGCAGCCCUGGCCCGGAGCGCACGAGGACUGCGCAGCCGGACCCCUGCAGGUCCCCAAACCAGGGCCCCAGUCCACCCGCCCGUCCCCGCGGCCAGCGCCACGAAUGUACGGCCCGCCCCACACAGCGCCCCGCACCCCCGCCGGACUUCGGCCCCGCCGCGCUCCCGCCCCGCCGCCGAGGCUUCCCCUGGGUUCGCGUCCCCACCGCCCCCGCCGCCCCCGCCUUCGCGCCUGUUUUCGUUUGCUUUUCCGUGCUGCUGGCUGGCGGCCUCUGGGUCCCUGGCCCCGGGGCGGGGGCGGGCUGGAGUGGGGCUCCCUUCAGUGCUGCCAGGCUGGGGUGCGGAUGGGGGCGGGGUGAGGCGUUCAGCUAGGUCUCCAGGCUCGGAGGGCCCCGUCGCCCCACCCCUGACUCCCGUUACCUCACAGCCCGUCGAGUUGCCCCCUACCCCCGCCCCAAUAAUUGGCCUUGCAAUUGGAUGCCAAAGAGCCCAGAGUUGAGGGGGAGCAGAGCUUUGAGCCCAGGUCUCUCAGAGCAACCCAACAGCCCCCUUUUUGCCCACGCCCCAGUCCGCGUCCCCUGCCCCAUCCCACCACUGAGGGCCCUGGGGGUCCCCAAACAUGCCCCCCCAUUUCCAGCUCUUCCCACACCCCCACCCCCGAAAAUAAAACUCAGGGACCAACAUCUGCUUCCUUUGCACUUGCUCCGUCGACCCCGCCCCCCGCUCGGAGGGGCUUCCGUGGGGGAGGGAACGGGGCUCCGGGCCCUCAGAGUUCUCAGUGUCUAGCGAGGAGAGGGGCUGGCCCCUGCCCCCCGAGAACUGGGACUGGUGGGAGAGAGAAACUCAGCACCGGGGCCUAGCUGAGCCCCUUCCUGCGUCCGCAGACGCUUUCUAAUUGCGGGGGUUGGGGCGGAGUGGGGGAGGGAUAGGAAGAGGAUUAGCGAGAGGACCCUCGCGGAGGUCCUGAGUCCCAGUCGGUUUAUUCCUGAGCCUUCCCCUCCCAUCGUAAGUCCUUUCCUCGACCCUCCCUUUUGUACUGCAAUAAUACUGUAUUAUACGCUUGCACUAUUCCCCGACCCUGGCCAGCGGAAGCAUGCACGAAAAACUCAAAACCACACACUCACACGCACACACACACACGCACACGAAGAUGGGACGCUUUUUUUCUUCCUCUCUCUCUCCGGGGUGCGUCCUCCUUAGUGUACAUAGCGGCGUCGGGGGGUGGCCCCAGGCCCGGGUAGAAAAGCAUGCACUGAGACCCCCGCCCCUAGACUGCGAGUACUGUACAAAUCCAACACUUGAAACCGACACGCACACGCGCGGCGCCGCCACGGGGUGGGACACGGACACGCACCCACGCGCACACGGCCGCGCACGGGCGGGGAGGGGGCGCCCGUCACGCGUCGCUGUGCGAGGGAUCUUGUGCCUUUUUAAGUCCCUGUAUGUUAAUGCAGACAAUCCGGAGAGCUUGUGUACUACCAAAUCCUGAUUAAAGACGCCUUCCA
This 2553-nucleotide long non-coding RNA is filed under the name Macaca fascicularis (crab-eating macaque). Its description in RNAcentral is "lncRNA (ENSMFAG00000054050.1)". The record is from RNAcentral. Lineage: Eukaryota; Metazoa; Chordata; Mammalia; Primates; Cercopithecidae.